UUAUUUUUCUAGAUCCGCCACUGGUGAUUCGUACCUUCAUUGGCAAGACACAUUUUGAGGUGUAUGGGCACCCAUAAACAAAAUUGUGCAGGCUUUAUUAAGUUACAAAGUAGGCAAUACCUUGUCAGAUAUGGGUUGGGUCAUGACAGAUGGUAUCAGAGCGACUUCGCAUGUCCUCUUAAGCGAUGGUGGGGCUAACCGUCGCGAGUACUCUGAGUCCUUAAGGGGGGUGUAAGUAACAUCUCAGUCAAAUCCCACAUCAGCAAAGCACAGGAGAAAUGCUACGUUUUUAAAAGGGUGAUCAACACCGAAAUUGCCGAGACGCGUUUUGGGGUGUAUGGGCACCCUAGGAACAAAACUGUAUGGGCUUUAUUACGGCCCAAAAGGGAUUAUAUGUAGUCAAUUCUGGGUUUGGUCAUGACAAAUAGUAUCAGAGCGGCUUCACAUGUCCUUUUGAGUGAUGGUGGGGCAAAUCUUAGCGAGGACGUUGAGUCCCUAAAGGGGUGUACGUAACACCCUAGGCAAAUCUCACAUCGGCAAAGUACAGGAGAGAUGCUAGGUUUAUAAGGGGGUGAUUCGUACUUUCAUUGGCAAGACACAUUUUGAGGUGUAUGGGCACCCAGAAACAAAACUGUGCAGGCUUUAUUAAGGUACAAAGUAGACAAUACCUUGUCAGACUUGGGUUGGGUCAUGACAGAUGGUAUUAGAGCAACUUCACGUGUCCUCUUAAGCGAUGGUGGGGCUAACCGCAGCGAGUACGCUGAGUCCUUAAGGGGGGUGUAAGUAACAUCCCAGUCGAAUCCCACAUCAGUAAAGCACGGGAGAGAAGUUGGGUUUAUAAAGGGUGAUCUACGCCUUAAUUGGCAAGACGCGUUUUGGGGUAUAUGGGGCCACAAGAACAAAACCAUGCGGGCCUUAUUAAGGCCCAAAGCAGACAAUAUCUUAUCGGGUCUGGGUUAGGUCAUGACAGAUGGUAUCAGAGCGGCUUCGUGUGUCCUCUUGAGUAAUGGUGGGACAAACCUCAGCGUAGACGCUGAGUCCCUAAGGAGAUGUAUGUAACACCCUAGGCGAAUUCCACAUUGACAAUGCACGGGAGAGAUGACGAGUUUAUAAAGGGUGAUACAUACUUUAAUUGGUAAGACACGUUUUGGGAUGUAUGGAUGCCCCAGAAAAAUAACCAUGCGGGGCUUGUUAAGGUUUAAAGCGAACAAUAUCUUGUAAAUUAUGGGUUGGGUCAUGAUAGAUGGUAUCAGAGCGGCUCCGCGUGUCCUCUUGAGCCAUGGUCGAGCAAACCUCAGCGAGGACGCUGAGUCUCUAAGAGGUGGUGUAUGUAACACCCUAGGCGAAUCCCACAUCAGUAAAAUACUAGAAAGAUGAUGGGUUUAUAAGCGGUGAUCCGCACCUUAAUUGGCAAGACGAGUUUUGAGUUGUAUAGGCGCCUAAUGAACAAAACUGUGCGGACCUUGUUAAAGCCUAAAGCGGACAAUAUCUUAACAGGUCUGGGUUGGGUCAUGAAAUUAUGAAUUUUUCAUGAUUUUAGGGACUCAGCGUCCUCGUUGAGGUUUGCCCCACCAUCGCUCAAGAGAACACGCGGAGCCACUCUAAUAUCAUUUGUCAUGACCGAACUCAGAUCUGGCAAGAUAUUGUCCGCUUUAGGCCUUAUUAAGGUCUGUACGGUUUUAUUUCUGGGGCGCCCAUACACCUCAAAGGCGUCUUGCCAAUUAAUUUGUGGAUCACCCCUUAUAAAUACAACAUCUCUCUCGUACUUUGUCGAUUUAGGAUUCGACUAGAGUGUUACAAUGAGGGCAUGAGUGCAUGAGCACAUGAAAUCAUUUAAGCACUAUUGCUAUAAAGCAUGAUUGUAAGAUAACAUAGCUAAGCAUGAUAGCGUUAACAAGUCAAAUAAAUAUGACUGUAGGACAGUGCAAUCAUCAAAAAGCAAAAUAGUAUGGGAACAUAGCUAUGGGAGGUGAGUUUAAUUUAAAAAAAAAAAAAGGCAUGUUCGCCGAAUCCAAUAGCGAGGGUUGAUAGUUGGACAUAUUACCUAAGCCUAAAGGAAAAACCUAAAAGCUCCCAAAGCCUAAAGUGAGUUGAAGAAUGAGACAAAAUGCUAGAGAUAAACAUGGUAUUAGAUAAAGCUCAAUUUAAAAAGGAGAUAAAUAUAAACAUUAGAUAAAAACUUUAAUGAGAACAAAGAGUCAUCAAGGGCUCAGGAUACCUAAAUUACAUUAUAAAGAGAGAACCCUGGACGCAUAGAGGGAUAUGAGUAAAUAGUUAGACAAAAAAAAAAUUCAUUGUGAUCUUUAUCAAAUAGUGAAAAUUGCUCUUUCUAUACCCGCGAAUGUAGGUCAAGUGCUAAAUCAUGUUAAUUAUCUAUUCUUAUUUUACAUCAUCCCUGUUGAGAAGCUUAGCCUAUGAUUUCUAUUCUACUUAUAAAUCCAAGUAUCUCCCAUUUACUGGCCAAUGCGGGACACAACUCAAUAACCCCCUCCCCCCAAUGAAACCACUAUCAAACUUCAGUCAUUUCAUUCAAUACAUUCAAGUUGUUCUACCACCAUAUGCUAGCUAUUAGGGUCUAACUCUGAUACCAUUUGUUAUGGGGACUUGACCUAUGAUUUCUAGUUAUCCAAUUCUAAAGACUAGUCUAUUAAAUAGAGUAACAUAUCAUAUUUAUAAACCCAAAUAUCUCUCUUUUACUAAUCAAUACGGGACACAACUCAAUAGUCCCAUUAUUUAAUUCUAUAAUUGACCAGAAUUUAGCGUUAAUAGAUUGGCAUCGUUUGUGGGAUGAUAUAAUUAUCCAUAAAUAAAAAUGAAUACCACAAAAUCAAAAGUCAAUAAAAUCAAUUAGUCAUCGUAGUUAUGGGUUACUAUUGGUUCCAAGCCCCCCAAGAAGACAACGUAGGAACAUUGGCCCCAACCACCAUUUGUUAAACAAGUGGCUGACUAGGCACAUGACAUUACUUUGGUGCUCUAAUACGUAGAGAACCAAAGGAAUAUUUUGCCAGUCUAACCUGUUGAAGAGCAACAGCAAUAGUACAUAAUAAAAAAUAUGAACACUAAAGAGAAAGAACUCAAACUUCAUGAGUCAAAAGCCUUGAAAGUCAUGCUAAUCAUGAAAGUGGUGAUCUUUGACAAGUAUUAAACUCUAAAAACCUGUGUGAGAGGCUGAAUAAAAGAUAACUAAUCUAUAAGGUCUAAGGAAGAUAAGUUUAGUGCUGCCUCAGCAAGCCUUCAAGUAGAGUUAAAUAAACUCAAAAAAAGGAUAGGUGACACAAAAAAAAAAAGAAAAAAAUGUUGGAUCAUUUUUUGAAGAAGUAAAGCCUUCACUAGUGACAUAUUAGAUGCACCACUUCCUCCAAAGGUCAAAAUUCCUCAAAUAAUGUUGCAUGAAGAAGAAUGAGAUCUGGGUGAACACUUAGAGACUUCUAGGUCUUGGAUGGAGUUGCAAUGAGCAAUAGGAGCAGCCAUGUGUAGGACUUUCUUGUGAACACUCACGGGAUCAACAUGCAAUUGGUACAGAAAGCCAAAGCCAGAGUUGACAGCUUUAUUUGCUUAGUUAAGUCAAGUUUUUAGCUAAUUUGUUGGUGCCAGAGACCAUCAAUUUCCCCUGACUCAUAUUUUGUUAGUUAAGUAAAGAAAGGACGAGUUAUUGAAAAAUUAUAUUAUUUGCUUUAACAAAGAAGCAAUACGGCUGGAAAACUACAGUAAUGCAGAAGCCUUAACGACCAUUAUAGUCGGUUUAUAACCACGAACAUUCCAUUACUCGCUCAGAAAAAAUACGCCAAAAACCUUUACAAAGUUAUUAUCGAGAGCACAAAAGAACAAUAACCUAAACUCAUAGAAGCUAAGAGAAUAGAGGAAAAGAUUCUUAGUCUCAUAUAAAAGGAGAUUAGGAAAAGUUAAAGUGAAAUUCCCAGUCUCACAAGAGUGAGAGCAAAAUAGUCAACAACAAAAUUUUUGGUCUCAUUAAAAAAGAAUGUGAAAAGGUAAAGAUAAGUUUUUUUUAGAAUAGGACAAGUUGAAGAUAAAUUCCUGGUUAUAUAAAAAGGAGAACAUAAAAAGUUAAGGAUAAGUUCUUAAGAGCAGAAAAACCUAAAGAUAAAUUUUUGAUCUCAUAAAAAAGAGAAUAGGAAAAGUUAAAGAUAAGUUCCUAAGAGGAAAAAGGUUAAAAAUAAAUUCUUGAGUAUAAAAAGUUAAAACUAAGUUCCUGAGAGUGGGAAAAGUUAAAGAUAAGUUCCUGAGUCUCUUAAAAUGGAGAGUAGUAAGAAAGAAAAUCGACAAGAAAAGUUAAAAGAAAAAUGCCUAAUCUCCUAAAUAUAAGAACAAUAUGAAACAAGAAUUAGUAUCAAGAAAACAAGAUUGCGGAGGUAUUGAAGCUCAUAAUUUAUUACACACAUUAAAUUAAACAUGAAGCAAAAAAAUUCAAUACAUACAAUAAAAAAAAGAAAUCAAGAGUAAAGUUUACAGCAGGAGGUGGUUGGAUAUUUAUGAUAGCCUCGUAUUUGUUAUCCUCCGCAAGAUAUUUACAAAAGGUUGGAUCAAAAAAGUCCUUAGAGUCUGAAGACAUUGCUUGUUUAUUAGGCAAACAUUUCGAGCAAAAAAAAAAAAGAAAUGACUAAUACUUACCAGGAAGAAAUGUUAAUAAGUUAUCUAACACUCUAGUUAUCUAAACUUACAGAGGUGAGGUGGAGGAAUGAAUUUUGCAUGAAAUAAAAUAACAAAAAUAAUAAUGUUGGCUUUUAACAUUUGUAAGUCAGCUUCAAAGAGUUAGGGGCAACUAUUGUGAAGAAAAAAUAUGGCAAGUCAAAUAACAUGAGACCAUAAGAGCAUGUUGAAAUACAAGUAUGCAACCCAAGAGGGGGGGUGAAUUGGGAUUUUAAAAUUAUGCAAUACAAUUCUCUCAACAAUUUAAUCUAUUGCCUUAAUCAAAUUGAAAACAAUAAAUUCAAUCAUGCACAAUAUUAAAAGAGUAAGGGAAGAGAAAACAAACACAAAGAUUUUUACGUGGUUCGGCAAUCCCCGCCUACGUCCACGCCUCCAAGCUCACCGGGCUUGAGGAUUUCACUAAGCUAGCCUCCCAAGGCUUCAAACGCUUACAAUUGACUUCCAAGGUGUCAAUGGACCUUUACAACAAGAGAUUAUCCCCAAUCUCUUAACCCAAGUGUAUCCCAACACUUACAAUCACUCAAAGUAGAAGAUUACAAAUUGUUUUUCUCUCACACAAUAUUUAAGAUUACAAAUCAAUGCCCAAUGUGUGAAUAGAUGAAGAGAGAAUGUGUUUAAAGCUCAAUGAAGAUUGUAUUCUCGAAUAUAAGCUCAAUGAUUAUGUUGUGAUCAAUCUUGUUUGAAUUUGGAUGAGCUUAUUUAUAGUUAGAGCUGAAAAUCUAGCCGUUACAAACUGUCGGACAGAAAACGGUUCGCCGUUAACCAUAAACGGUUAACCGUUUCGUUUGGUCAAAGUUACCGUUGGGCCAAAUUUCAAAUAAACGGUUAGCCGUUUAGGCUUACCCUUUCGCCGUUAAUUUCCAGAAACCUGCAAAACAAAUUUGGUUUAACCGUUCUUACUAAACGGUUCAAGGUUAGCAAUCUGGAAAUAAUCGGUUAACCGUUUUCAGUAAACGGUUCACCGUUAGUUUCCAGAAUCAUCAUUUUAACAAUACUUUGCAGAACAUGCUUUCUGGAAAUUAUCGGUUAGCCUUUUUUAAAUAAACAGUUAGCCGUUUUUAAAUAAACGGUUAGCCGUUUGCUACAGUGAUUGCUACAGUAACCUGCACAGUGCACUUUUUUCUGAAAUUACAGUUUGACCCCAAAACUUUACAAAACUGUACUAUAACCCAAAACGUUAUGAAACUUUACAAAUAGGUCCAAUUUCAGAAUUUCUAAGUAAUGCUUUGUUAAUCCCAAAACUUUCUGAAAUUAUGUUAUAGCCCAAAAUGCUAUGACACUUUUCAAAUAAGUCCUUCACCAAAAUUUCAAGCAAUACUUGUUUAUUUCAAAGUUUUCAAAAUGUUUCAAUUAAACCAUAAACUUUGAAAAACAACCAAUUUCAUAAAAUCAUUUUUCCAUUAAAUAUGAAACAUUUAUAAUGUGAAAAUAAUGAUUUAUUUAAAAAGAAUAAAAACAAUCAAUUUCAUAAAAUCAUUUUUCCAUUAAAUACAAAACAUUUAUAAUGUGAAAAUAAUGAUUUAUUUAAAAAGAAUAUUAAAUAAUUUGAGCUUAAAAGAUUAAUCAUUCUCAAUCUUGUUUGUUAUCAUCAAAAUCAAUAUUAUGGAAACAUAUAUGUUAACACAUGUUGGCUCAGUAAAAAGCUUUAUAAGUCAUUUAAGAACAGUUACAUGAGAGCAUGUGAGCAUAAGAGCAUGAGAGCAUGAGAGCAUGCUAAUUCAGUAGAAAACUUAAUAAGUCAAAUAAGCACAGUUGCAUGAGAGCAAGUGAGCAUGGGAGCAUGUGAGCAGAAGGGCAUGAAGUCAAAUAAGCACAACUCUUGUAGAGCAUCUAGAACAUGAUUGUAAAAGAGUCAUAGCUAAGCAUCUUCUAGAGCAUGAUUGUAAGUCAUAGCUAAGCAUGAUAGCACUCAAUAAGUCAAAUAAAUAUGAUUGCAAGAGAGUGCAAUUGUAGAAGAGCUUACAAUUGCACAAUAAUUCAAGAGCACAAUUGUGGGAGAUGAGUUUAAUUUUUUAAAAAAAACCACCUACUGAAUCCAACAACUAGGGUCUGGUAGUUGGAUGUGCUAUCUAAGUUUAAAAGUAGAAUCCAGAAGCUCUCGAAUCCUAAGUAAGUUUAAGAAGGAGAUAAAAUGCUAGAGAUAAAUGUGGAUAUUAGAUAAAACUCAGUUUAAGAAAGAGAUAAAUAUUAACAUUAGAUAAAAACUCUAAUGAGAACAAAGAGUAAUCAAGAGCUUAGGAUACCAAAAUUAUAAUAUAAAUAGAGAUCAUUUGAUGCAUAAGGGGAUACGAGCAAAAAAUUUAAAAAAAAAAAUUACUGUAAUUCUUAUUUAACCGUGAAAGUUGCUCAUUUUAAACUUCUGACAUAAGAUAAGUAUUGAACCAUAUAAAUUAUCUGUCUUGUUUUGUAUAUCGUCCGAUCAUUUAAUUUUGUGACUGACCAGAAAUUAGCGUAAGCAUCAUUUAUGGAAAAAUUUAUUGUUCUUCAUUUUUAUAAAAAGAGAAAGGAGCUUCAUGAAAAUUCCAAUCAGUCUCCUCAACAUUAGUGAGAGCAUCAGUCCACCAUCAGCCUAUAAAAUUACGGCAAUUGGCAUUCUUCUUCUUCUUCUUCUUUUUGUGGAAACUAAUCGGCAUUCUUCUUUGUUCCUGAUUAUUCAUGCAGGAGUUGUUAAUUUCCCAUCAAUGAACUAGAUGACGCCAGCUGUUGUCGCCCAAGUCAGAGUUCAUCAAAAGAUUAUAAUAACCGUACGUUAACAUGGAUAAAUAAUCAAACAAUAUGAACAAGGAAUGGAAGGAUAGAAUAAACAAAUUAAAAUUAAAAGCAGGUCUUGUUCAAAAAUAAUAAUAAUAAUAAUUAAAACACGCCAUGUGUCUCAUCAAGGAUAUCACGUAAAACAUUAAUUAAUUCUACCCAAUAAAAUGAAUGAUUUGUCAACUCCAUUUUUUAUGGAUAGACAUAAUUGAGUUAGUUCAACCAUAUUCAUUAUUGAAGCAUACAAUACAACAAUUAAUAUAAGUUGGAUGUAAAGCCAUAAUUUUUUUAGCUGUGGUAGAUCGUCGAGUUAUUAAUUAAAUAGGAAAAGCACGUUCGUUUCGAUACUCAACUUUCAUUUAUUUGUUUUGUACGUAAAUGUUUUUAUUUAGUCUCUACAAAUUGAAUUAAUUAAGCAGUUAAUUCAUAUAUUUUUUAAAAAAAAUUAUGAUGCGAUAUUAUAUACAUCUACUUUUAUUAAAAAUUACUUAAUUAUCAUAAUUUUUUUUUUACUUGUUGCAUGUCAAACUUAUUUAGAUUUUAAGUUAUAUCACAUAAAAAGAUUAUUUUACGGUUGAAAAGUUUAGAUUCAACAAGUACAAAAAUUACAACAUAGAUAUUUUAUAAAUUCUGAUGAUACAGGUAUGAGGGGCUAUUUAUACUAUAAACUUCUAAAGGUUAGCAACAUUCAGCUCGCGAGAAUGAAAGUGUGAACGAAACUCAACCCAGAUGUUAAUCAAAUACACACAUUGCCACAUUGGUUCC
Molecule: long non-coding RNA, 8184 nt
Filed under: Citrus x clementina
Lineage: Eukaryota; Viridiplantae; Streptophyta; Magnoliopsida; Sapindales; Rutaceae
Description: Citrus clementina (C. clementina) long non-coding RNA (CCLE_LNC004055)
Source: RNAcentral